RNAcentral lists this ribosomal RNA (1866 nucleotides) under Holarthrothrips sp. TH48. RNAcentral describes it as "SSU rRNA". It matches the Rfam family "Eukaryotic small subunit ribosomal RNA". Lineage: Eukaryota; Metazoa; Arthropoda; Insecta; Thysanoptera; Stenurothripidae. The record is from RNAcentral.
AUUAAGCCAUGCAUGUCUCUGUUCAAGCCAAAUUAAGGUGAAACCGCGAAAGGCUCAUUAUAUCAGUUAUGGUUCAAUAGAUUGUACCCAGUUACAUGGAUAACUGCGGAAAUACUGGAGCUAAUACAUGCCAACAGAGUCCCGACCGGAGACGGAAGGGACGCUUUUAUUAGAUCAAAACCAAUCGGUCGGUCUUCGGGCCGAUCGUGCAGUCUUGGUGACUCUGAAUAACUUUGGGCUGAUCGCACGGCCUCCGUGCCGGCGACGCAUCUUUCAAAUGUCUGCCUUAUCAACUGUCGAUGGUAGGUUCUGCGCCUACCAUGGUUGUUACGGGUAACGGGGAAUCAGGGUUCGAUUCCGGAGAGGGAGCCUGAGAAACGGCUACCACAUCCAAGGAAGGCAGCAGGCGCGCAAAUUACCCACUCCCGGCUCGGGGAGGUAGUGACGAAAGAUAACGAUACGGGACUCAUCCGAGGCCCCGUAAUCGGAAUGACUACACUUUAAAUCCUUUAAGGAGUAUCAAUUGGAGGGCAAGUCUGGUGCCAGCAGCCGCGGUAAUUCCAGCUCCAAUAGCGUAUAUUAAAGUUGUUGCGGUUAAAAAGCUCGUAGUUGGAUCUGUGUCUCGCGCCGCCGGUUCACCGCCCGUCGGUGUUAAACUGGCGCGUUGCGAGACGUCCUGCCGGUGGCGUGCCUUAGGUGCCGCGGUGUCCCGGGCAACCGGGCCCGCGUGCGGCCGGCGCCGAUUUAAUCCUGUCGCGGUGCUCUUCACUGAGUGUCGAGACGGGCCGGCACAUUUACUUUGAACAAAUUAGAGUGCUUAAAGCAGGCUCCCUAUCGCCUGAAUGUUGGUGCAUGGAAUAAUGGAAUAGGACCUCGGUUCUAUUUUGUUGGUUUUCGGAACCAGAGGUAAUGAUUAAUGGAGACAGGCGGGGGCAUUCGUAUUGCGACGUUAGAGGUGAAAUUCUUGGAUCGUCGCAAGACGAACCGAAGCGAAAGCAUUUGCCAAGGAUGUUCUCGUUGAUCAAGAACGAAAGUCAGAGGUUCGAAGGCGAUCAGAUACCGCCCUAGUUUUGACUGCGAACUAUGUCAGCUAGCGAUCCGCCACAGUUCCUUAGAUGACUUGGCGGGCAGCUUCCGGGAAACCAAAGCUUUUGGAUUCCGGGGGGAGUAUAGUCGCAAGGCUGAAACUUAAAGGAAUUGACGGAAGGGCACCACCAGGAGUGGAGCCUGCGGCUUAAUUUGACUCAACACGGGAAACCUCACCAGGCCCAGACACUGGAAGGAUUGACAGAUUGAGAGCUCUUUCUUGAUUCAGUGGGUGGUGGUGCAUGGCCGUUCUUAGUUGGUGGAGYGAUUUGUCUGGUUAAUUCCGAUAACGAACGAGACUCUAGCCUGCUAACUAGUCGAUGAAUUUCAAUCCGCCAUCCUCUUAUGGCUGGCGGCGAAAACCACUCUUCUUAGAGGGACAGGCGGCUCCUAGCCGCACGAGAUUGAGCAAUAACAGGUCUGUGAUGCCCUUAGAUGUUCUGGGCCGCACGCGCGCUACAAUGAAGGCAUCAACGUGUAUCCCUUGGCCGAGAGGCCCGGGUAACCCGCUGAACCACCUUCGUGCUAGGGACUGGGGCCUGAAAUUGUUCCCCACAAACGAGGAAUUCCCAGUAAAGGCGUGUCACUAGCACGCCUUGAUUACGUCCCUGCCCUUUGUACACACCGCCCGUCGCUACUACCGAUUGAAUGAAUUAGUGAGGUCUUCGGACCAGCGCGCGGUUCUCGUCCCUCGGGACCCCCGUCGCAGCAGGGAAGAUGCUCGAACUUGUUCAUUUAGAGGAAGUAAAAGUCGUAACAAGGUUUCCGUAGGUGAACCUG